AUUGAACGCUGGCGGCAGGCCUAACACAUGCAAGUCGAGCGGAUGAAGGGAGCUUGCUCCUGGCUUCAGCGGCGGACGGGUGAGUAAUGCCUAGGAAUCUGCCUGGUCGUGGGGGAUAACGUCCGGAAACGGGCGCUAAUACCGCAUACGUUCUGAGGGAGAAAGUGGGGGAUCUUCGGAGCUAACGCUAUUAGCUGAGACUAGGCCGGAUUAGCUAGUUGGUAGGGUAAAUGCCUACCAAGGCGACGAUCCGUAACUGAUCUGAGAGGAUGAUCAGUCACACUGGAACUGAGACACGGUCCAGACUCCUACGGGAGGCAGCAGUGGGGAAUAUUGGGCAAUGGGCGAAAGCCUGAUCCAGCCAUGCCGCGUGUGUGAAGAAGGUCUUCGGAUUGUAAAGCACUUUAAGUUGGGAAGAAGGGCAGUAAGUUAAUACCUGGCUGUUUUGACGUUACCAACAGAAAAAGCACCGGCUAACUUCGUG
Molecule: ribosomal RNA, 484 nt
Filed under: uncultured bacterium
Lineage: Bacteria
Description: partial 16S ribosomal RNA
Rfam family: Bacterial small subunit ribosomal RNA
Source: RNAcentral